AUUAAACUUUAUCAUAGGUAUAUUUGUACAGGAAAAAACAUAAUAUGUACUGGAUUCAGUACUUUCUGCAGUUUCAGGCAUCCCCUGGGGGUUUUGGCAUCCUCUGUGGAUAAGGGGAGACUACUGUAUAAGGAUCAAAACCAGGAAAUGAACUUUACUACUAUUAUCUAAUCUACAAUCCUAUUUCAGAUUUUGCCAAUUUUUUAAAUAAUUGCUAUAGCAAAAGAAAAAUCCCAAAUCAUUUGUUGCAUUUGAUUGUUUUGUCUCUUAACUCUCCUUUAAUAUGGACAAUUCUUCAGUCUGUGUUUUUCAUGACAUUGACAUUGUUGAUAAAAACAGGCUACUGAUUUGGUAGAAUGCCCCUCAAUUUGGAUUUGUCUGAUGUUUUCUUACGAUUAGAUUUAGGUUGUAGAUUUUUCUUGCUGGAAUACCAGAUAAGUGAUAUUGUGCAUUAUAUCAGGAGACACAUAAUGCUGAUUUGUCCCAUUACUAACUUUGGUGAUAACUUUGCUCACUUGCUGAAGGUGGUGUGUGCCGGGGUUCUCUAUUAUAAAGUUACUAAGUAUCUCUUGGCAAGAAACUUUGAAACUAUGUCAAUACCCUGUUCACUUCUCAGAAUUUCAACCAUUAGUUUUAGUAUAUAUUGUUGAUUCUUGCCUAGAUUAAUUAUUAUUAUUAUGGUUGCCAAAUGUUUAUUCUAAUUUCAUCGUUUCUUUUAUAUUUAUUAGUUGGCUUUCUGCUAUAUGGAAAAACUUUCCCUUCUCCCCCGUUUAUUAUAUCAGUGUGGACUAAUGGAUUCGUAUUUUAUUCUCAGUGUUAUACACUUUUACUAUCAUUAAGCGUUUUGAUGCUCAGAUUGUCCCAGAUUUGGCCAGAGAGCACCCCUUCAAGCUGGCGCAUGUGAACUUCUGACACUGUUCCAGCUCCUUUACACAGGUCUGACCCUCUUCUGCACACCUUUAACUGCUGCCUCAAGUUUGGUUCUAACCCCGUGAAUCUCCUGUAACCGUGGUACUCUACCCUCUACUCUAAGUAUCCAUCCUCAUUGCCAAGAUUCCUG
This 1060-nucleotide long non-coding RNA is filed under the name Equus caballus (horse). Its description in RNAcentral is "lncRNA (ENSECAG00000044233.1)". Lineage: Eukaryota; Metazoa; Chordata; Mammalia; Perissodactyla; Equidae. The record is from RNAcentral.